CCGACUCUGACUCGGACAUGGAGGUCGA
Molecule: non-coding RNA, 28 nt
Filed under: Bombyx mori (domestic silkworm)
Lineage: Eukaryota; Metazoa; Arthropoda; Insecta; Lepidoptera; Bombycidae
Source: RNAcentral